GCUGUCUGCACCGCUCCCCUGCCUUCUUCCGGGCUCCCAGAGCACCGCUAUGGAGAUGCUCUCCCGGCAUUUGAGGAAGAAUUGAUUGUCCUCAUCCUGCAACUGUACUUGCCCAACCGAUAUUUAUUGAUGCCUGCAGUGUCCUGGGUGCCUACCAAGGGGCACAGAACUGGAUCCGACUCAGACCCUGCCUGCCUUCAGGUUGCUUGAAGAUGAACAGAGAGAUCGGACCUCUGCAUGAAGCCAGACUGCUCAUCAUUCCAGACAUCUUCAGCUGCUACACCCAGAACAAGCAUUCGAAAUAUGAACAGGAUGGUGAGCCAGAUCUUUCCAAUCAUGGUGGAGUGGAUGUGAACUUCCUCCAGAGUAUCUCCAAGGAGAUUCCAGUCCCCCAUGUUUAUUUAGUCAGCCAUCUUAGCUCUGAUCCACAUCAAAUAAGAGGCAGAUAAAUUCUUCCAUUCUGAAGGGAGCACUAUUUCUUAAAGCAACC
This 490-nucleotide long non-coding RNA is filed under the name Pan troglodytes (chimpanzee). RNAcentral describes it as "long non-coding RNA NONPTRT000201". The record is from RNAcentral. Lineage: Eukaryota; Metazoa; Chordata; Mammalia; Primates; Hominidae.